UCAACCUAUGAUUUAACUACACCGUUUAAUCUCAUUCGUUCAUUCUUUCUAAGGUUUUGCUAUAAAUAAAGGCUUCAUCUCUUGUUCUAGUAAUUGUUCUGAUUUUCGGCUUUCUCUGGUUCUUUCUCGUACGUUUAGAUGUAGAAAAUUUUCGCAAUCGCUUCCUUCAUUAUUUUUAUUUAUUUUAGGUUUUCCAUCAUAUUUGAUUUCGAAUUUUCCGUGAGAUCGAUUUCGAACAAUUUUUCUUUUUCAGAUCAAAGAUUUUCGAAAUUAAAAUUUUAUUCAAAACAAUUCCAGUUUAUUCAAUUAUAUUUCCCGUCUAUUUUUGCUUUUAAUUUUGCAGGCAACUCUGUGAGAACGGAGAGGAGGAUGAUUGUUGGAUGGAAUUUUGUGGAUCUGGGUUCACUCAGAUUUGUAGGUGCAAGAGCAAAAAGAACGAAAGAAAUCAUUCGUUCCAGGAUGUUUAGAUCUUUGAUGUACAGAAAUCAUUGGUAGGAGGAAGGUCAAAAAAAUACAUAAUAAAAAAGAAGAGUUUUGGUGUUGAACAGGGGAGUUCGCACGGGGUGUUUUUUUUGCCCGGGUUCUCUCCUGUUGUAUGUUGGUGUCCCUUUGUCUCUCUGAAUUCCUAUGGCCAUACAAAUCAUGUUUCUGAUCAUCAAGAUCAUCAAAGUCUUCAAGGUUCGAAUCAACAUCAUGGGAUCUAUAGAGUCUCGCUCAAGGAAGUUUCAGAAAUCUGCCGAUCUAACCCGCAAGGUAAAAUUAUUUUUACAAUACACCUGAUUUUUAGCAUGUUAUUUUAGAUUGAACUCCGAAUGAAACGAAUCCUCCCAAACAAGUUAAUACAUUCCCCGAAGAAAUUAAUACAUCCCGUAAUUCUGAUCCCCCGCUACAAUGUAACCUGGUAACUAAAAGUGUGUAUUGUAUAUAUUUUCUUUUCCACCGUUUUCCCCCGAAACAUAGUUUAGUUUGAUUCAUAUAAAGCAAAAGCAUUAUUGUUUAGUUUGAUUCAUAUAAAGCAAAAGCAUCAACUUCUUCAGUUGCUCAGUUGCUCAUUUGUUUACUUUCUUCGAUUUAUCAAUUUAUUCCGAGAAAUUCAAUAUUCUGAGAAAUUCAAUCAUUAAGAGGAAUGUGUUGGUCAAUUAUUAAAUAUUGGGUACAGUUGAUUAAAUUUUGGUUACAGUUGGGUACUUUUUGAGAUGUUAGUUUCAAGUUGGAAUGCAUUCCAUUUUCUUAAAGUUCUUAAGAUUUGAGGUUAAAAAUGAAACAUCAACUCCAAGCGCAGGAGAAGAAACAGGUUUCUCAUACUGUGAAUGGAUCUUGUUGUUCAAAGUACUCUGGCCUGGUGAGCUUUCAAAGUAAUCUGGCCUGGUGAGCUGAGCCCUGUAGUUGUCAUGAAGUUUCAAAUUUAUCAUGAUUUCUUAUAACUAGUUGUUCUUUAUUCCAUAGUUAUGAAUUUCAUUCAUAACUAUAGUAGUUACUACUAUUACUACUAUCAUUCUUUAUUCCAUAGUUAUGAAUUUCAUUCAGAAAUAAGAAUUAUUCAGAAUUAUUUAUCAAGUAGAUAUGCGUACCAAUUGGUUAUACUCCUAGCAUCUUAUAACUAUGUCAUUCUUAUUUGGAAAUUCAUUCUGACAUAAGAAUUGUUCAGAAUUUAUUUAUCAAGAUUUGGUUAUACUCCAAAGCGCAGGCGAAAGGAACAACUUUCUUAUACUAAUAUUCCAAUCUGGCGAUUUUUUGUUGUUCAAGUACUCUGAUCUGGUAAGCUGAGCCUGAGCCCAGUAAUUGUCAACGGGUAAUCUUGAGGUUUCAGAUUUAUCAUGAUUUCUUAUAAUUAUGUCAUUCAUUAGCUGAGCCCAGUAAUUGUCAGCCGGUUAUCUUGAAGUUUCAGAUUUAUCAUGAUUUCUUAUAUUUCAGAAAUAAGAAUCGUUCAUAAUUGCACUGGUAUUUUUUUAGUUCUUAUUCAAGUGCUACCAAAUGUCAGACUUCUGGAAAAAAAAAA
This is a long non-coding RNA of Papaver somniferum (opium poppy), 1999 nucleotides long. RefSeq lists it as uncharacterized. The record is from RefSeq and is a predicted model, not a curated record. The transcript has 2 exons. Lineage: Eukaryota; Viridiplantae; Streptophyta; Magnoliopsida; Ranunculales; Papaveraceae.